This is a non-coding RNA of Biomphalaria pfeifferi, 1301 nucleotides long. The record is from the annotation of a GenBank genome assembly. NCBI's taxonomy places the organism in Eukaryota, Metazoa, Mollusca, Gastropoda, Planorbidae.
CCCCCCCCCAGUAAACAAGAAAGUUUUCUCACAUUGAAUAAAAGACUUUUUUAUUUUAUAAUCUACAAAAGAAUUAAUUAAAACACUGGCUUAUUUUAUUAUUUAUAACUAGUAGGCCCUAAUUGUCAAUUAAUUUUUUUUUUCGUCUAAACUUACUUUGUAAAAAACAAAACAAAAUGUCAAGCUUUAUAAAAAAAAAAAAGCCAAAAUGUUUAUUUGUUAUACCAUGACAUGAGUAUUAUCUUUUCUUAGUUUAUACACGCUAAUUAUUUACAAUUAUGCAAUUCUUGUUAUUAUAUUAACAUUAAAUAAAGUGUGUCUGUUACUGCCUCCAUAGUGAAUCAUUUAAAGACAUAAAUCAUGAGGUCAAUAUAAACUGAGACAAGUGAAAAUUAAUAAUAAAGGAUGACUUUUCAAUUAAAGACUUUUAGAAUGACCAGUAUAUACUUAUAUUACUUUAAAUGAAAGCAGUGUGUAUCUGUAUAAAUGUAUGCUGUAGUUUAUUUAGUAGAUCUGGUAUGUACAAUCUCUAUUUACAAUUUUAGUAUAGAUUUGAGUUUAACAAAAUAUUCAUAUAAAAUAAUGUUCAUUUCAAUAUAUUUUUCCCAUUAAUUCAUUGCAUUACAAUGUAUUGUUACAUUCAUGGAGUUCGAAGAGUUUUGUGAGCCUUAACAAUUUUUCUGUCUCUAAAGUACACGAUUAUUUUUAAAUCAUUUUUUUAAUAUUUCUUUCCAUGACACUGAGCCCAUUUCUAUUUCUGUGAUUGGUGGGUUGGAUUCAGUGAUAUAACUUUCAAAUUAAGUGCAUUUAAAAAAAAUUUUUUUUUUUGGUUUCAAUUUACCUAAAAUAAUGUUUUGAAAAAAAUAUGUUCAUUUGUAUUCCUUAUCUAAAAAUAUUAAUAAAUGCAUGAUCUGUGAUGUUUGAAUACAGCCUACAAGAGAGAAGGUGUUUAACUCAGGCUGACAAGAAAUGUCUGUACUAAGUUAAUGCAUAUCAAAAUUAUUUUUGCCAUAUGUAAUUGUUGCAUGCCAAAAAUACUUAUGAAUUUCUAGUCCACUUUUAAAUACUUUUUUAAUGAAAUAAAAUAUUUUAAGAUUAUAAUGGAUUUCUUGUUUUUCAUUCAUUCAAUGUCAAGAUUUUAAAGAUAUAGCUUAUCAAUCAGAUAAUGUAGAAUUGAAUUGUGCUGGGGCUUCUAGUUUAAGUUACUAAAAAUAAAUAUUUUCUUUUAAAGAUGAAUUUAUAACAACCAAUGUUCAGAAAUAACUCAACACUUUAUGUCAAUAACCACAUUUGUUUUUAAU